UUGUGUUGAUUUCUGAUUUAUUGUCUAAUUGUAAUGGAUUUUAAUUUCUGAGUUUGUCAUCUGAACUUCUGUUGAUUGUGUUCUGAAUUUCUGAUGUUGCAUGUGUUGUUGGUUUGUUGAUAAGAUAGAAAUUGUAUAAAUCCCGGUUGGUGUGUUGUUGGUGUUGUUAACUGUAUUUGAUUUGUGCAAGUUUGUAUUGGUGAUGGUUGCUGAUUAUAAAUUUUUAUUGCAAGGUGUCUGAGAAGAAGGCUGAAGAAAGUUGAGCCCUCUUGAAAGCUGAGCAUUAGCUUGGGAUGAAGCAAAACGUGGUAAUUAUCUGCCCAGAAUUUUGCAGAUGGUUCAGGUCACAAUAGUCCUUGUGUCAGUUGUGUGAGGGUGAGGCACAUGUUUGAGAAUGAGAUGACACCAAUGCUAGCCAAGAGCCUUCAAGAACCGGUACGCGGAUUCGAGCCAAUACUCCGGCAACUAGGAGUCUAAUUCACUCUGGGGCUUCAACUCCGGUGAUGCCCCGAAAUGGUGGGAUGGAAAUUGGAAUCUCAUUCUGGCGAGGGUCAUCAAGGAUCAUGGAAUCCUUCUUGCAAGGUGUCUGAGAAGAAGGCUGAAGAUCAUGCAAGGAAGUUGAGCCCUCUUGAAAGCUGAGCAUUGGCUUGGGAUGAAGCAGAAUGUGCCAAGUAUAUGCCCAGGUUCAGGCAUGAAGAGGUGAGGAUUCAAUCAUGUUA
Long non-coding RNA from Arachis stenosperma, 719 nucleotides. RefSeq lists it as uncharacterized. The transcript has 3 exons. The record is from RefSeq and is a predicted model, not a curated record. NCBI's taxonomy places the organism in Eukaryota, Viridiplantae, Streptophyta, Magnoliopsida, Fabales, Fabaceae.